UAGAGUUUGAUCCUGGCUCACAAUCAACGCUGGCGGCGUGCCUAACACAUGCAAGUCUAACGAGAAAGUGGAGCAAUCCAUGAGUAAAGUGGCGACCGGGUGAGUAACACGUGACUAACCUACCCUUGAGUGGGGGAUAACCUCGGGAAACCGGGGCUAAUACCGCAUAACAUCUUCGGGAUGAAAAGCUGAAGAUCAAAGGAGCAAUCCGCUUUUGGAGGGGGUCGCGGCUGAUUAGCUAGUUGGUGGGGUAACGGCCCACCAAGGCGGUGAUCGGUAGCCGGCCUGAGAGGGCGCACGGCCACACUGGAACUGAAACACGGUCCAGACUCCUACGGGAGGCAGCAGUGGGGAAUUUUGCGCAAUGGGGGAAACCCUGACGCAGCAACGCCGCGUGGAGGAUGAAGCCCUUUGGGGUGUAAACUCCUUUCGACCAAGACGAUUAUGACGGUACUGGUGGAAGAAGCACCGGCUAACUCUGUGCCAGCAGCCGCUUGAAUACAGAGGGUGCAAGCGUUGUUCGGAAUUAUUGGGCGUAAAGGGCGCGUAUGCGGUGCGGUAAGUCACCUGUGAAAUCUCUGGGCUUAACUCAGAGCUUGCACGCGAAACUGCCGUGCUGGAGUGUGGGAGAGGUGCGUGGAAUUCCCGGUGUAUCAGUGAAAUGCGUAGAUAUCGGGAGGAACACCUGUGGAUCACGCGACGCACUGGACCUUACUGACGCUGAUGCGCGGAAAGCUAGGGCAGCUAACAUGAUCUAGAUACUCCUGGCAGUACCUAGCACUAAACUAUCGGAUGCUCGGUGUGAUCGGUACCCGAUCUGAUCGAGACCGCACGCUAUUGCGUGAGCAUCCGGCAUGGCGGAGUACCGUCUCCAAGGCUGCAAACUCAAAGGGAAUUCGACG
Molecule: ribosomal RNA, 902 nt
Filed under: uncultured soil bacterium
Lineage: Bacteria
Description: partial small subunit ribosomal RNA
Rfam family: Bacterial small subunit ribosomal RNA
Source: RNAcentral